AACUAGGGAUUAGAUACCCUAUUAUUAAAAUUAAAAUAAAAAUGCUAAAAUAGUAUAUAAUUAUUUAUUGAAACUUAAAUAAUUUGGCGGUAUUUUAGUUCAUUUAGGGGAAUCUGUUUAAUAAUUGAUAAUCCACGAUUAAAUUUACUUAAUUAAGAAUUUUAUAUAUCGUUGUUAAAAAAAUAUUUUUAAUAAAAAAUAAUAUUUAAAAAUUAAAAUAAAAAAUUAAUUCAGAUCAAGAUGUAGAUUAUAAUUAAGAAUAUAAUGGAUUACAAUAAAAUUAUUUAAAUGAAUAUAUUAUUGGAAAAUGAUAUUGAAGGGGAUUUAAAUGUAAUUUUAUUUAAUUUCUUGGAUGCUCAUC
This 361-nucleotide ribosomal RNA is filed under the name Ochlodes subhyalinus. RNAcentral describes it as "Ochlodes subhyalina partial 12S ribosomal RNA". Lineage: Eukaryota; Metazoa; Arthropoda; Insecta; Lepidoptera; Hesperiidae. The record is from RNAcentral.